RNAcentral lists this ribosomal RNA (503 nucleotides) under uncultured bacterium. RNAcentral's name for it is "partial 16S ribosomal RNA". It matches the Rfam family "Bacterial small subunit ribosomal RNA", at positions 30 to 523 of the family's 1533-position model. The record is from RNAcentral.
AUUGAACGCUGGCGGCAGGCUUAACACAUGCAAGUCGAGCGGGGUGAUGGUGCUUGCACUAUCACUUAGCGGCGGACGGGUGAGUAAUGCUUAGGAAUCUGCCUAUUAGUGGGGGACAACAUCUCGAAAGGGAUGCUAAUACCGCAUACGUCCUACGGGAGAAAGCAGGGGAUCACUUGUAACCCUGCGCUAAUAGAUGAGCCUAAGUCGGAUUAGCUAGUUGGUGGGGUAAAGGCCUACCAAGGCGACGAUCUGUAGCGGGUCUGAGAGGAUGAUCCGCCACACUGGGACUGAGACACGGCCCAGACUCCUACGGGAGGCAGCAGUGGGGAAUAUUGGACAAUGGGGGGAACCCUGUUCCAGCCAUGCCGCGUGUGUGAAGAAGGCCUUAUGGUUGUAAAGCACUUUAAGCGAGGAGGAGGCUCUUUUGGUUAAUACCCAAGAUGAGUGGACGUUACUCGCAGAAUAAGCACCGGCUAACUCUGUGCCAGCCGCCGCCGUAA